CUUAACAAAAUUUUCCCAUAUAAGUAAAUUACAAAAAUUAAAGUGUACUUAACUUCAAUUCACGCUUACAUUCAUCCAAACCAUUCAAUAUCAUCCAUAAAUGCUAGGCCAUUAAGGAUAUAAUAAGUAUAUAGCAUUGUGGAAAAGAAAAGGAUAAAAGUAGCAAUAGUGAGUAGGAAAUGAAAAUCAAGUGUUGCAAUAAACCAACUAGAACAUUAAUAAAGAAAUUCUAGAACUAUAUUCUUUAAUUCAUGUGGAAGCCAUUUUAUUUUUCGUCACAUUACAUCUACCCAACUAAUCUUCUACUCAUUUUGUACCUAUGUUAGACAUAAAUUUAAGAACCACAUUUCAUUCAUAUUCUAAACUACACAAAUGCAACGAGCAAUUAUGAUAACUUAUUCAUGCCUUUGUAUCAAUUAAAUAUUGCCUUCUGCAGCCAAUUUUUUUUUUUUAGAGUAUCAAUACUAGCAGUGCAUUCAGUUUAAUCUAAAAGAAUUAUGUAUUGAUGCUAAUAAUAUAAAUAAAACAUGAGGCUAUCAUGAAUUUUGAGAGGCUUUUGACAACUUUCAGCGUCUAGUCCCUAUGAAUGGGCAAAAUCUAAAGAACCAAUUAAUGUGGGCUAGUUAAUAAACUUGUUUGUGUCCAAAGACCAAUUUAAUAAGUCAAAUUCAAGUUUUAUAGCUUAACAAAUAAAACCCAGAUACUACCAAGAGCAAACGAAUUUAGAUUAAUUUAAAUCUUCAUUCAAACAAAGUAAAAAGAAAAGCACAAGCAUGAGACUAAAUUCGGAGAUAAGUCUUCACUUAUGGAUCUCACUUAAGGAUCAAUUAGUUGGAAUAAUGCAACAACGACCAUUACUCUAACCAAAUGGAGGGAUUGAUAUUCAUGGGCUUAAGUAUAAGAGACGUGACAAAAUAACAGAAUCAACAGAACAACCAACAAAAGCAACAAAACUAGAAUUAGUAAAGGAAAGUCCACAAAUAAUGAGAAAUCAUAAAGAUUUACCUCAACUGAAGUUUUCCCUCCUUUAAGAUGCCCAUGCAACCCAUAAAUGUCGCAUCUUUGAGAAAAUUCUGGCUGUUAAGGAUCAAUCCUUUUACCUUGCAGGUUGCAAAUAAAUCCCUGUAUGAGAAAAAAAUAGACAGAUUCCCCCUUCCAGACCUUGGCUUAUGGAGUAGAUUAAAGAGAAUCACUUAAAGAUUCUAACAAGACUAAAAGCAUGAAUGCAGAUUAAAUUCUAAUAGAUGUCCAUAUACCCAAAAUUUAUAAGAUAAAACCUAUUAUGUGAUUGAUAUACACAAUUUCGGAUUCCUAAGGCACAAAUGAGAAAUUUCAGCCUCCAAUAUAUUACUCCUAAAUGUAAGAAAAAUAAAUGAACCCAACAUAUAAGAAAUUGCUCCAAAUAAAAAAUGGAAUCAACAUGACAAAUCCUAUAUUCAUAAUUGAAAACCUAAAAGCUCUAAAGUAAAUUAAAAAAAAUAAAGCUUACAUGUAAAUAUCAAUGAGAAAGAUUUGAGGGGAGAUCCUAUAGUAACAAGCCUUGAGACAAUAAGAAUUACCAAUCAGAACUUUUUGAUCUUGAGAGAUUUAAGUUGUAAAAUCAAGGAAACAAAAGAGAUUGAUUAAUGAGGGGAUUUUGCGACGAAUCCAGAGAGAGAUAGAAUAACAAAGGGAUAUAGGCUUUAAGGCUGUCCCACUAUAAUAGAAAAUUUUGGGAAAAG
RNAcentral lists this long non-coding RNA (1721 nucleotides) under Citrus maxima (pomelo). RNAcentral describes it as "long non-coding RNA (CMAX_LNC000278)". Lineage: Eukaryota; Viridiplantae; Streptophyta; Magnoliopsida; Sapindales; Rutaceae. The record is from RNAcentral.